This 381-nucleotide transfer-messenger RNA is filed under the name Enterobacteriaceae (enterobacteria). Its description in RNAcentral is "f Enterobacteriaceae X52 Standard tmRNA". It matches the Rfam family "transfer-messenger RNA". Rfam says of the family: Bacterial tmRNA, also known as 10Sa RNA or SsrA, is named for its dual tRNA and mRNA-like properties. Lineage: Bacteria; Pseudomonadati; Pseudomonadota; Gammaproteobacteria; Enterobacterales. RNAcentral also lists the same sequence under 1 other name. The record is from RNAcentral.
GGGGCUGAUUAUGGAUUUGACAGGAUGUGUAAAGCCGGAGGAGCAUGCCGAGGGACGGCUGGCCUCGUUAAAAGCCGUGUAAAUAGUCGCAAAUGAUAAAAACUUUGCACCUGUUGCAUUAGCAGCUUAAUCGGCUUAAUAAACUGAAGGUGCCCUCUCUCUCCCUAUGCUUUGCUCUUAGAACAGGAGACAAGAGAGGUCAAAAUUAAAAGAGAUCGCAUGGAUAUCUUGCUUAGGAUUGAUAUGUUAAAUUGAAUUAAGCUAGUUUUUUAUUCGCGUGUCCGUUCGCGGUUAAUAAAUAAAUUUAAUAACUGGACUAAGCAUGUAGCGCCAAUUGCAUAGCCGUUCUGGACGCGGGUUCAACUCCCGCCAGCUCCACCA